GACGAACGCUGGCGGCGUGCUUAACACAUGCAAGUCGAACGGUGAACUCCGCUUGCGGGGGGAUCAGUGGCGAACGGGUGAGUAACACGUGGGCAACCUGCCCUCAGCUCUGGGAUAACUCCAAGAAAUUGGGGCUAAUACCGGAUAUGACCGCUGACCGCAUGGUCUGGUGGUGGAAAGAUUUAUCGGCUGGGGAUGGGCCCGCGACCUAUCAGCUUGUUGGUGGGGUAGUGGCCUACCAAGGCGACGACGGGUAGCCGGCCUGAGAGGGUGACCGGCCACACUGGGACUGAGACACGGCCCAGACUCCUACGGGAGGCAGCGGUGGGGAAUAUUGCGCAAUGGGCGAAAGCCUGACGCAGCGACGCCGCGUGGGGGAUGACGGCCUUCGGGUUGUAAACCUCUUUCAGCAGGGACGAAGCGAAAGUGACGGUACCUGCAGAAGAAGCACCGGCCAACUACGUG
This 465-nucleotide ribosomal RNA is filed under the name uncultured bacterium. Its description in RNAcentral is "partial 16S ribosomal RNA". It matches the Rfam family "Bacterial small subunit ribosomal RNA", at positions 28 to 507 of the family's 1533-position model. The record is from RNAcentral.